This 1401-nucleotide long non-coding RNA is filed under the name Piliocolobus tephrosceles (Ugandan red Colobus). Its description in RNAcentral is "lncRNA (ENSPTEG00000009108.1)". The record is from RNAcentral. Lineage: Eukaryota; Metazoa; Chordata; Mammalia; Primates; Cercopithecidae.
AAUAAUAUGAACCCAAAUAAUAUGAACCCAAAUAAUAUGAACCCAAANNNNNNNNNNACCCAAAUAAUAUGAACCCAAAUAAUAUGAACCCAAAUAAUAUGAACAAUUAUAAUACGAACAAUUAUAAUACGAACACUUUUAAUAAUAAUAAUAAUAUGAAUUGGCAAGAUAAAAACAAUUACACUUAUAAAAAUGGAAAAAUGGAAGAAAAAAAUGCUUAUAAAGAUAAGGCUUAUACAGAAAAAUUAGAUACAUUUAAAUUUACAGCAAUGAAAGAUAUAGGUGGCAUAAAUAACUUCAACAUAAAUGAAAAACUAAACAAUAAUAAUAGUAGUAACAAUAAUAGUAGUAGUAACAAUAAUAGUAGUAGUAACAAUAAUAAUAGUAAUAACAAUAAUAAUAGUAAUAAUCGCUUGAACAAUUUAUUAAAUUAUCAAACACAUAUAACGAACACAAAUUAUGAACACUCAGGCAUUUCUAUUUUUAACGGAGAUAAUAAUAAAACUAAUUUAUUAUUACGUAAGGAUAUGAAUCAACUAUUACCAGAUAUAAAUAAUAACAAUAUACAUAACAUGCAUAUUACUAGUGGUAGUAGUAGUAGUAAUAGAAAUGCAUUUUGCACACAACCGUAUUUAAACAAAGACACAAAUAACUUAUUUUUAAAAAAUAAUGUAACCAUAUUAAAAGAGAAUAAUAAUGAUUAUGGCAAUAAUAGUAACUACAACCAACAUGGCAAUAAUAGUAACUACNNNNNNNNNNAUGGCAAUAAUAGUAACUACAACCAACAUGGCAAUAAUAGUAACUACAACCAACAUGGCAAUAAUAGUCAAUAUAAAAAUAACACAAUUUUUAAAAACUUGACGAAUAAUAACAAAAACAACGACAACGACGAUAUGCAAAUCCAAAGAAAUAACAUAUUUAAUCAUAAAAUUGAAUCAAAAGAAAAUACACUAAGUAAUAAUUUUAAUUUAAACUAUUUAAACAAACAACCAAAAAAUACAACUGUAGAUACGAAGACAAACAUUUUUUAUAAUGAUAUAAAAAAUAAGUUUUUAACUUCAGAUUUAAUGCAGAAUAAUAUAAAAGACAAUACGUAUAACAGUAAUAACAUUUUAAAAAAACAUAUACCUUAUGAUGGAAAGACUUUUGACUACAAUAUAACACAACAUAAUAAUAACAUAAAUAACGAUUACAUGUUUAAUCAUACUAACGUGAAUAAUAAUAUACAUAAUGAUAUACUUACUAGUAAUGAUACAUAUACAAAUUUUAACUACAACGGUAUGAAUAGAUUAAGUAGAUAUAGUAAUAAUAAAGACUUAAGUUUAAAUAAUAAUAUAUCACUGAUGUUAGAAAACAUUAGUAACUCUUCAGAUAAAAAUAAUACUAAUAACUACAAUAUUA